ACGCUCGACACCUACGGGAGGCAGCAGGUGGGGAAUAUUGCACAAGUGGGGGAAACCCUGAUGCAGCGACGCCGCGUGAGUGAAGAAGUAUUUCGGUAUGUAAAGCUCUAUCAGCAGGGAAGAAAAUGACGGUACCUGACUAAGAACGCCCCGGCUAACUACGUGCCAACAGCCGCGGUAAUCUGAGCGGGCUGGCAAGGC
This 201-nucleotide ribosomal RNA is filed under the name uncultured bacterium. RNAcentral's name for it is "partial 16S ribosomal RNA". It matches the Rfam family "Bacterial small subunit ribosomal RNA", at positions 328 to 539 of the family's 1533-position model. The record is from RNAcentral.